Arachis duranensis is the source of this 740-nucleotide long non-coding RNA. RefSeq lists it as uncharacterized. The transcript is spliced from 2 exons. Lineage: Eukaryota; Viridiplantae; Streptophyta; Magnoliopsida; Fabales; Fabaceae. The record is from RefSeq and is a predicted model, not a curated record.
AGGAAACCUUCCUAGUUUGUGCAACAUAUGCGCCAAAUGAUGGUGAAAACAUAAGACUUUGUCUUCAGCCAGAAGCCACUCUUUAGGUAAAGGAGGAAAAUGGAUGCCAAGAGAAGCUUCUUUUCUUUUUUGUUUUUUAAAGUGUGAGAGGCAGAGCUCAUUGGUGGAGUGCUUUCUUCUUCUACUAUAAGGAUUAAAAGCUUUGAAAGUGACAAUGUACCAGCAACAAAUGUGAGUUUCAUGAGAUUGUCAAAGUGUCCCAAAACAUUAAAGGUAAAUCAAUUUAUCUAUCUCCACCCUUGUUUAAGCAAAGGGUAUUAUUAUAGAGGUUAUUCCUCUCAUUUGCAUGAGCCACACACCCUCUUCACCAAAUGGGGUGGCUCCACUCCCUCUUCUCUCCACUCAAGAAGCUUUGGUUCAGGAUGCAUUCCACCACUCAAAACAAGGGAAGAGGGAUAUACAUUCUGUAUGAAGAUGUGAAAUCUUGCCCCUAUGAAGACGUGCACGUCCUCUGGUCAAUACUGGUGGAAUCAAAUUCAGCUUCUUUGCCAUCCAAAAAAUAAAGGCUAUGAACAAAACGGAACUUAGAAGAGGAUCGUAAUAAUAAUGUACAUAAAGUAUUUAUCAAUGUUCAUACACACUCUUUUCUUUCUUUUCUUUUACUUUUUUUUUCCAUCUUUUAUAAAGCAUUCUAAUUUCUAAGUGCUUAUCAACAGUCCAACACUUGUUUUUUUCUCGCA